GCUUUAAAUACUGUGAUAGCGAAACAUAAAAAAGAUCUUUCUUUCUUACUUCCUAAGCUAAAGCACUGCUUACUCUCUGCACUGCACUAUUCUUCUUCUUCUUCUAAAGUAAAUAACACCGUCAUUUUCGUCUACACUGUAAAUCUUGAAUUCCUCUGGGAGGGGAUGCUUUGCAUGAAGCCUGAACAGUUGGUAAAUUUGCUGGAACUUUGGCUAGUUGGUUGACUGGUGCAAUGUUGCUAAUAUUAAUAGGUUAGAAGAUAAUGCUGUACUGCUCCAAAAAAAAAAUGGAACUAAUUGGUACUAGUUCAGAUGCCGUUCCCCAUCAGAAUCACUCUUCAAGGGGCUCAAGCAAUGCUGGCAACAAGAAUUUAACUGAGAAAGAAGUCUAUGUAAACCAUGCUGAGUUAGCCUGGCAUCAAAUGAGGACAGAAUGGGUUGGUGAUCAAUCAAAAAAAUUACGGAGGUCACCUAAAGGUUCAACAUUAAGCGUCACAAGGACUUAUGAAGAGGUGCUUGCAUCUAGAGAACCUUUUAAACGACCAAUACUAUUAUCUGAGAUGGUAAGUUUUUUGGUUGAAAUUUGGCUCGAGGAUGGUCUCUAUGAUUAGAUUACAGACAGGUAAUUCUACUGUAAGUUUAAGUGAGAACUCGGCAGAGUUUUAUUUGUGCCCAGAUCCCUCGGAAGCACAUUGUUUAUAUUUAUACAAAUCCUUUAUCGCGAGAUUGGUUGAAAUCAUUGAAUGACAGUUUAAUUGGUUCUCUUAGCACAGGUAGGCUUCAUAGCAGUUUAUGUCUGCAACACCUUGGAUUUUUUGGUCAAAUUGUGGCUGCUGCAGCUAAACAUUCAUCGGACUAGUUACGUUUUUUUAAACUAGAAUGCAUUUUCCAUAGUGAUAAGUGGGCAAUCUCACUCAAAUUUGUAAUGAAAUUUGAAAAGAAAAUGGCAUUUGCAUUGCCAUUGUUCAAUAGCUUUCUAAUGCAAUUUUACUAGGAGUGUGCGAAACGAUCGAACUGCAUCGAAACAUUCCAUAAUGAAACCAUAUAUCAUUUGAGUAAAAAAAAAACUCAACUAUUUCUGUAAAACGGUUCAGUUGGAACUGAACAGUUUUUAUUAA
This is an RNA transcript of Glycine soja, 1118 nucleotides long. RefSeq lists it as uncharacterized. The record is from RefSeq and is a predicted model, not a curated record. The transcript is spliced from 7 exons. NCBI's taxonomy places the organism in Eukaryota, Viridiplantae, Streptophyta, Magnoliopsida, Fabales, Fabaceae.